This 204-nucleotide long non-coding RNA is filed under the name Brassica napus (rape). RNAcentral's name for it is "long non-coding RNA (BNAP_LNC006604)". The record is from RNAcentral. Lineage: Eukaryota; Viridiplantae; Streptophyta; Magnoliopsida; Brassicales; Brassicaceae.
AGAGGAGGCUUUUUUAGAUCAAGGUUCGACUCCGUGAGGGGGAGGCUUUUACAGCUCCGUCGUCGUCGGUAUUCUCCGGGAGGUGGAGGCUGCGUUAGCUCCGCCGCCGUCGGUUCAUUUUUGUCGGGAGGGGGAGGCUUACUGAGCUCCGUCGUCGCCGUCUUGUUUCCGGAGGGUGGAGGCUACUAUAGCUCUACGCUGCCG